ACGAACGCUGGCGGCGUGCUUCACCCAUGCAAGUCGCACGGAAAGGCCCUGCUUUUGUGGGGUGCUCGAGUGGCGAACGGGUGAGUAACACGUGAGUAACCUGCCCUUGACUUUGGGAUAACUUCAGGAAACUGGGGCUAAUACCGGAUAGGAGCUCCUGCUGCAUGGUGGGGGGUGGAAAGUUUCGGCGGUUGGGGAUGGACUCGCGGCUUAUCAGCUUGUUGGUGGGGUAGUGGCUUACCAAGGCUUUGACGGGUAGCCGGCCUGAGAGGGUGACCGGCCACAUUGGGACUGAGAUACGGCCCAGACUCCUACGGGAGGCAGCAGUGGGGAAUAUUGCACAAUGGGCGGAAGCCUGAUGCAGCAACGCCGCGUGCGGGAUGACGGCCUUCGGGUUGUAAACCGCUUUCGCCUGUGACGAAGCGUGAGUGACGGUAAUGGGUAAAGAAGCACCGGCUAACUACGUG
This 467-nucleotide ribosomal RNA is filed under the name uncultured bacterium. RNAcentral describes it as "partial 16S ribosomal RNA". It matches the Rfam family "Bacterial small subunit ribosomal RNA", at positions 29 to 507 of the family's 1533-position model. The record is from RNAcentral.